This 417-nucleotide non-coding RNA is filed under the name Winslowiella iniecta. Lineage: Bacteria; Pseudomonadati; Pseudomonadota; Gammaproteobacteria; Enterobacterales; Erwiniaceae. The record is from RNAcentral.
AGCUGGCUAAGCGUGCUUUCCAGUGGCUUAAUCAGCAGUGUAUUGUUGUUCAGCGCCACUUCUCCGCUGGCACGCACCUGCUCACCGUCCAGCGGGAUAUCGAGAUGUAAGCGACCACUUACAUCGCCGCCAAUCUGCAGCUCAUCAAGCGCCGCGCCAAGCGUCGACUUCAACGGUGACUGAUUAAAAUAGUCGCGAACGUCAGGUCCGGCACCGCGAAUAUCACCAUCGAUAAUCAGUUUCUCUUUCAGAUAGUCCGGGAUCACUGCGGUAACAUUUUUGCCCUGCACUUUACCCAGCAUCGCCUGUGGCGCGUUCAUCCACAGUCCGUCAUUCACGAAAUCGAGGUCGAUAGCGAGGUUAUUCAGCGUCGGCCAGCCGGGUUCAAACUCAUAAUGGGCAUUGCGCAGCGGUACC